UGGGGAAUAUUGCACAAUGGGGGAAACCCUGAUGCAGCGACGCCGCGUGAACGAAGAAGGUAUUCGUAUCGUAAAGUUCUGUCCUAUGGGAAGAUAAUGACAGUACCAUAGAAGAAAGCUCCGGCUAAAUACGUGCCAGCAGCCGCGGUAAUACGUAUGGAGCGAGCUUUGUCCGGAAUUAUUGGGCGUAAAGGGUAAGCAGGCGGUUUAAUAAGUCGAAUGUUAAAGAUCGGGGCUCAACCCCGUAAAGCAUUGGAAACUGAUAAACUUGAGUAGUGGAGAGGAAAGUGGAAUUCCUAGUGUAGUGGUGAAAUACGUAGAUAUUAGGAGGAAUACCAGUAGCGAAGGCGACUUUCUGGACACAAACUGACGCUGAGGUACGAAAGCGUGGGGAGCAAACAGG
RNAcentral lists this ribosomal RNA (403 nucleotides) under Bacteroidota bacterium. Its description in RNAcentral is "Bacteroidetes bacterium partial 16S ribosomal RNA". It matches the Rfam family "Bacterial small subunit ribosomal RNA", at positions 355 to 776 of the family's 1533-position model. The record is from RNAcentral. Lineage: Bacteria; Pseudomonadati; Bacteroidota.